This 253-nucleotide ribosomal RNA is filed under the name uncultured bacterium. RNAcentral describes it as "partial 16S ribosomal RNA". It matches the Rfam family "Bacterial small subunit ribosomal RNA", at positions 524 to 776 of the family's 1533-position model. The record is from RNAcentral.
UACGUAGGGUGCAAGCGUUGUCCGGAAUUAUUGGGCGUAAAGAGCUCGUAGGCGGCUUGUCACGUCGACUGUGAAAACCCGGGGCUCAACUCCGGGCCUGCAGUCGAUACGGGCGGGCUGGAGUUCGGUAGGGGAGACUGGAAUUCCUGGUGUAGCGGUGAAAUGCGCAGAUAUCAGGAGGAACACCGGUGGCGAAGGCGGGUCUCUGGGCCGAUACUGACGCUGAGGAGCGAAAGCGUGGGGAGCGAACAGG